Molecule: ribosomal RNA, 253 nt
Filed under: uncultured bacterium
Lineage: Bacteria
Description: partial 16S ribosomal RNA
Rfam family: Bacterial small subunit ribosomal RNA
Source: RNAcentral
UACGUAGGGUGCGAGCGUUGUCCGGAAUUACUGGGCGUAAAGAGCUCGUAGGUGGUUUGUCGCGUUGUCCGUGAAAACUCACAACUCAAUUGUGGGCGUGCGGGCGAUACGGGCAGACUGGAGUACUGCAGGGGAGACUGGAAUUCCUGGUGUAGCGGUGAAAUGCGCAGAUAUCAGGAGGAACACCGGUGGCGAAGGCGGAUCUCUGGGCCAUUACUGACGCUGAGGAGCGAAAGCGUGGGGAGCGAACAGG